CACCAACUUCUGGAGCUUACUCAAACUUCUGCCUUCAAAUACAUGAUAUUCCUUUUACCAGAGGUGCCCAGAAACACUCUUGAUGGUGCUCACAGCCAACAGCGCUUCCUUUUUCCUGAGGGUUGGCAUUCAAGAAAAAGAAACUCUCAUCAGCCUUUGGCUUCCUUACAGCUUCAAAGAGGCAGCGAUAUGCACAGCCCAGGGAAAGCAGCCUUGGCUGAAGAGGAGGAAACAUUCCCAAAGUUAUUCUAUGAAGCCACCAUUACCCUGAUACCAAAACCAGACAAAGACAUCGACAAAAAAAUUUUUUACAAGACUGUAUGAAGUUGCAAACUGUUUCCUAACGCUGGAAGACAUGGUGAUGUAAUACCUACAACUAUCAGGGGCGCUAAAACAGCAAUAACAGUGCCCUCGUCUGCCUGGAAUACAGAAGGAUGGCUGAACAAACACAGAAGAAUGCAACUUUCUAAGAAAAGUCUGCUGGGAACUAGUUCCCACAUUGUUUCUGCCUCUAGGAAGAAAAGCCUGUGACUUGCUUUCUGCCUGACUCCUUAAUGGUCAGUGGAUUCUCUGUUGGGGGAACCUAGAUUUGGACACAUUAGGAGCUGAUGAUGAAUAUGAACUAUUGGUGAAGUACAUUUGAGCCCACAGUCUACUGGCUUCUGCUUCAGAACCAUUCAGUCAGCCAGAUAUUUAAUUUUUCAGUGAGGCAGAGGAAAGGGGACCUGUGCUGGGGUUGCUAAACAGCGAUAUUUAUUCAUAAUUCAUUUUGCUUGGUUUUUUGAAUAUAGCGUUACUUUACAAUUAUAAAGUGCUUGGCCGUUUUCAGAUUUUCUAUUGAUGUUCGAAACAGUUUCAGGAGGUAGCUGUUGUUAUUACCAGUUUUACAGAUGAGAAACUGAGGUAUAGAGAGGUUAUAUUGCUUAAACUAGGUCUGCCAGAUUCCAAAGCUUAUGCUUUAAAAAAAAAAAAAAACUUUUAUUUUGAAAUAAUUGUAGAUUCACAUGAGUUUACAAAUACAUGUAUAGGUAAGUCCCAUGAAUUCUUUCCCCAACCUCCUCAAAUGUUAACAUCUCACACAACUAGAGUAUAGUAUUAAAAACAAGCAAAUGACUGGCACAAGCCACAGUGCUUAUUCAGAGUUCAUCAGCUAUAUGUGUGUGUGUGUGUGUGUGUGUGUGUGUGUGUAGCUGUAUGCAAUUUUGUCAUGUUCUUUUAUAUGCAUACACUGUUCUACCAAUUUAAAAUAUGAAGUCAGAUUA
Long non-coding RNA from Capra hircus (goat), 1262 nucleotides. RefSeq lists it as uncharacterized. The transcript is spliced from 3 exons. The record is from RefSeq and is a predicted model, not a curated record. NCBI's taxonomy places the organism in Eukaryota, Metazoa, Chordata, Mammalia, Artiodactyla, Bovidae.